Molecule: long non-coding RNA, 212 nt
Filed under: Pelobates cultripes (western spadefoot toad)
Lineage: Eukaryota; Metazoa; Chordata; Amphibia; Anura; Pelobatidae
Source: RNAcentral
CUCCCAUGCCUCCCCCCCUCUGUCAGUCCCUACAUUGGCUUCUAGUUACAAAUAGGGCUCAAUUUAAGAUUCUGGUGCUUGCUUACAAGUCUCUACAUAAUGCUGCUCCAACCUACCCAUCCUCCCUAAUACACAAGUAUGUCCCGUUGAGGCCCCUGCGCUCUGCCAAAGACCGAUGUCUGUCAUCUGUCCGUACUCCCACAUCUGAUGUU